AUUGAACGCUGGCGGCAGGCCUAACACAUGCAAGUCGAGCGGAUGAAGGGAGCUUGCUCCUGGAUUCAGCGGCGGACGGGUGAGUAAUGCCUAGGAAUCUGCCUGGUAGUGGGGGAUAACGUCCGGAAACGGGCGCUAAUACCGCAUACGUCCUGAGGGAGAAAGUGGGGGAUCUUCGGACCUCACGCUAUCAGAUGAGCCUAGGUCGGAUUAGCUAGUUGGUGGGGUAAAGGCCUACCAAGGCGACGAUUCGUAACUGGUCUGAGAGGAUGAUCAGUCACACUGGAACUGAGACACGGUCCAGACUCCUACGGGAGGCAGCAGUGGGGAAUAUUGAACAAUGGGCGAAAGCCUGAUCCAGCCAUGCCGCGUGUGUGAAGAAGGUCUUCGGAUUGUAAAGCACUUUAAGUUGGGAGGAAGGGCAGUAAGUUAAUACCUUGCUGUUUUGACGUUACCAACAGAAUAAGCACCGGCUAACUUCGUG
This 484-nucleotide ribosomal RNA is filed under the name uncultured bacterium. Its description in RNAcentral is "partial 16S ribosomal RNA". It matches the Rfam family "Bacterial small subunit ribosomal RNA", at positions 30 to 507 of the family's 1533-position model. The record is from RNAcentral.